GACGAACGCUGGCGGCGUGCUUAAUACAUGCAAGUCGAACGAAAAGUUUCUGCUGCUUGCGCUUGAACAACUUACCAGCGGAUGGGUAACUCACACGUAAAGUACCUGUCACAUAGACAGGGACUCCUAUAGGAAACGCUAAUUACUACUAGAUAAUAGUACUGCAUGGUUGAGAUAUAAUUAAUAGUUGGUUAUGCUAACACUUCGAGACUGCUUUGCGGUUCAUUAGGUAGUUGGUGUGGUAAGGGCCCACCAAGGCGACGAUGCAUAGCCGACCUGAGAGGGUGAUCGGCCACACUGGGACUGAGACACGGCCCAGGCUCCUACGGGAGGCAGCAGUAGGGAAUCUUCCGCAAUAGGCGAAAGCCUGACGGAGCAACGCCGCGUGAGUUAAGAAGGAUUUCGGUUCGUAAAGCUCUGUUGUUAGGGAAGAAUGGAUAUGUAGUAACUAUACAUGUAAGAGACGGUACCUAACCAGAAAGCCACGGCUAACUACGUG
RNAcentral lists this ribosomal RNA (499 nucleotides) under uncultured bacterium. RNAcentral describes it as "partial 16S ribosomal RNA". It matches the Rfam family "Bacterial small subunit ribosomal RNA", at positions 28 to 507 of the family's 1533-position model. The record is from RNAcentral.